CAGUGGCUAUUUGACUCAACGCGGGGAAUCUUACCGGGUCCGGACACACUGAGGAUUGACAGACAAUUGUCUUUUUGUCAAAUUUAAAGACAAAAGAUAACAGAUCUUUCAUGAUUAUGUGAUGGGUGGUGCAUGGCCGUUCUUAGUUCGUGGAGUGAUCUGUCUGCUUAAUUGCGUUUCAAAUAUAUUUUAUUAUAUAACGAGUCUACAAAGGAGUGGUUCAUUAACAGACAAUCAUAUCUUUGAGCGUCUGGAAUCUACUCUAUUUGGCUCAAUUGAACGCAACGGACGUGAUCGCGAGUCCUUGUUGAACUUCAGUAUAUAUUGACUUUCCCCGUAGGAAGGGAUUGGCAAUAAUUGAAUGUUCGCUUUCUAUAGGUGUGUAUGAUUAAUCUCAAAAUUACAUGUAUUUGUAGUGGCGAGUAUAAUUACUAUCCUAUAGGAAAACUCGGGCGACCGCUGUAAUAUUUCUCUUUAAAACAGAGGAAGAUUGCGGCAAUAACAGG
RNAcentral lists this ribosomal RNA (506 nucleotides) under Globigerinella siphonifera. RNAcentral describes it as "SSU rRNA". It matches the Rfam family "Eukaryotic small subunit ribosomal RNA", at positions 1193 to 1460 of the family's 1831-position model. Lineage: Eukaryota; Foraminifera; Rotaliida; Globigerinidae. The record is from RNAcentral.